This 301-nucleotide ribosomal RNA is filed under the name uncultured bacterium. RNAcentral describes it as "partial 16S ribosomal RNA". It matches the Rfam family "Bacterial small subunit ribosomal RNA", at positions 509 to 809 of the family's 1533-position model. The record is from RNAcentral.
CAGUCGCCGCGGUAAUACGAAGGGUGCAAGCGUUAAUCGGAAUUACUGGGCGUAAAGCGUGCGUAGGCGGUGAGUUAAGUCUGCUGUGAGAUCCCCGGGCUCAACCUGGGGACUGCAUUUGUGACUGUCAAGCUAGAGUGUGGCAGAGGGGGGUGGAAUUCCGCGUGUAGCAGUGAAAUGCGUAGAUAUGCGGAGGAACACCGAUGGCGAAGGCAGCCCCCUGGGCCAACACUGACGCUCAUGCACGAAAGCGUGGGGAGCAAACAGGAUUAGAUACCCGAGUAGUCCCUGUCUCUUAUAA